GCUGGGCAUGGUGGUGCAUGCCUGUAAUCCCAGUUACUUGGGAAGCUGAGGCAGGAGAAUCACUUGAACCCGGGAGGCAGAGGUUACAGUGAGCCAAGAUGGCAUCACUGUACUCCAGCCUGGGUGACAGAGCGAGACUCCGUCUCAA
Unclassified non-coding RNA from Pongo abelii (Sumatran orangutan), 148 nucleotides. It matches the Rfam family "Metazoan signal recognition particle RNA". From Rfam's summary of the family: The signal recognition particle (SRP) is a universally conserved ribonucleoprotein. It is involved in the co-translational targeting of proteins to membranes. NCBI's taxonomy places the organism in Eukaryota, Metazoa, Chordata, Mammalia, Primates, Hominidae. The record is from Ensembl.